This 95-nucleotide microRNA precursor is filed under the name Canis lupus familiaris (dog). RNAcentral describes it as "mir-8799 microRNA precursor family". It matches the Rfam family "mir-8799 microRNA precursor family". Lineage: Eukaryota; Metazoa; Chordata; Mammalia; Carnivora; Canidae. RNAcentral also lists the same sequence under 1 other name. The record is from Rfam by way of RNAcentral.
GGGGGGAGCGCAGGAUCCUGGUCUGUGUCCCCUGGCGCCCUGGGAUCUGGGGCCUGCGCCCCUAGAAUUGCUCUCCCGGGGCCCCGCAGCCCCCU